AUUUGCACAGUUUGAUGCGUUGCAUUUGUACGCUUAGAUUAUGACUAUUUUGAGAUAUUUAUACGUUUUGCGUCCUUGAAAUUCUUAUCUUAAGUGCAAAGCUGUAUGUUUCUAUUUUGAUUCGGCAUAUUCGAUAAAACCAAACAACAAUCAGACUCAAAAGGACCAUAAUUUUAUUCUGCGACACAAAUUAUUCUAUAUAUGUUAUUGCAAUUUUUGGAAAUCGUUUAUCGAAAGUGAAAGUACAAGUUUUUAUUACCAUAAGUUGAACAGAAAUGUGCUUGUACCUGCAGCCUUCCAAUAUUCAUUAUAGUCAGGAUUCCAUUUCAAAUACAUUUGGAAAGUCAACAGUUCAUUCGGAUAAAUACAUCGGUGAAACAUUAGAUGAUCUUAUAGAAGGAACAAUAAAGGUAAACAAUAUACCAAACAUUAGUGUGUUUAUGCACAAUAAUAAAUUGUUCACUACAGACAAUCGCAGGUUGUGGGUGUUCCGAAAGGCGGAAGAACUUGGAAUAUUACGUUCUAUUCCAGUUUAUCAAAACUUGUGUAUAGUUUCAUCUAAACUAACUACAACAAAUGGUGGAUUAAGUGUACGCGUAAGGAGAAAUAACCCGGGUGGACAGACAUGGCGUCGUCUUAGUAUGGAACGGGUUAGAAACCAAUUUCAAAACAAUACUCAUACUUUAAGCCGAAUGAAUAUGAGUGAAAAAAAUGUUCCAAGGCUCACAAAUACAUCUACAAAAAGUUCACCAAGUUCUUAUACGAAAGUAAAUCGUCCUUAUUCAGGAUUGGUAACCAAUUCCGAUAAACCCCAACAGUCUUAUUCUAGAUUAUCAACUUAUAUCAAGGAUCCCUCAAAUCAAGAAAGGAAAAGUAGCCCAGAUUAUGACCUCAACAGAGACGAUAGGAAAAAAGACGAAUCGAGGACAUGGCGUGUCUUGCUUGGUGUUGCAGCUGUAGGCGCUCUUACCGUUUUGCUAUUGAAACUAUAAUUCGUUUGCUGUUCGUCCCUUUAUUUUUACAACUUUAAUUUUGAGGAUAUCUUGUUUAAUAAAACAUAUUCAGAACUAAAUGUAAAUAACGAAGGUAAACACCUUGACAGUAAGAUUUUCACUUUUAUUAACUCUGAAUCAUAUUAUUAAAUGUUAUCAGUUUC
Long non-coding RNA from Mytilus californianus (California mussel), 1156 nucleotides. RefSeq lists it as uncharacterized. The transcript has 3 exons. NCBI's taxonomy places the organism in Eukaryota, Metazoa, Mollusca, Bivalvia, Mytilida, Mytilidae. The record is from RefSeq and is a predicted model, not a curated record.